RNAcentral lists this long non-coding RNA (597 nucleotides) under Brassica napus (rape). RNAcentral's name for it is "long non-coding RNA (BNAP_LNC002874)". The record is from RNAcentral. Lineage: Eukaryota; Viridiplantae; Streptophyta; Magnoliopsida; Brassicales; Brassicaceae.
UUUUUCUCGUUAUUGCUUGUGACACAGCACACACAAAAUGGCCAAGUCUAUAACGAGAAAAAUGCUAUUUCCCACCGAAACAAAUUCCAUGAUCAAGUAACAUACGUUAACUAUGUCUAUAACGAAUUGGUUUAUAUAUUAAAAAAUAAUUUGCCUAUUAAAUAUUUGUAAAUGAAAAUGUGCAAAAACACUUGUGGUGAAGCGUAAAAGAAAAAUAAGAAAGAAUAACGGAGAACUAGAAGGCCUACACGUCACAUUAUGUGGGAUCCUACAUCACUUCCUUUUCCAACGACUUGUGAAGCGCGUCACCGUCUGUAUUUUGUCCCCCUCCCUCUGCUUUUUUUUCUCUCAUCAAAAUGACAAAAUCAAAUGUGAACAACUAAUUUAUUUAUUUUGCUAAAUUAUAAAUAUCAUUAAUGAAUGAAAGUUUGGUUACAACAAAGUUAAACCAGAUUCUGUUCGAAAGCUGAUUUGUUCUUAGAAGCCGCAAAAAAAUUAAAAAACUCCUAAGAAACAUGAAGAAUUAAACCAAGAUAGACCACAUAUGUCAAUCUUGAUGUUAAUUAAAUUCAGAACAGAAGACAACACAAUACCCUA